GACGAACGCUGGCGGCAUGCCUAAUACAUGCAAGUCGAGCGGAGUUGACGAGAAGCUUGCUUCUCUGAUACUUAGCGGCGGACGGGUGAGUAACACGUAGGCAACCUGCCUUUCCGUUUGGGAUAACUUCAGGAAACGGAUGCUAAUACCGAAUACAUCAUCUUCUGGCAUCAGAGACUGAGGAAAGACGGCGCAAGCUGUCACUGAGAGAUGGGCCCGCAGCGCAUUAGCUAGUGGGUGGGGUAAUGGCUCACCAAGGCGACGAUGCGUAGCCGACCUGAGAGGGUGAACGGCCACACUGGGACUGAGACACGGCCCAGACUCCUACGGGAGGCAGCAGUAGGGAAUCUUCCACAAUGGGCGAAAGCCUGAUGGAGCAAUGCCGCGUGAGUGAUGAAGGUUUUCGGAUCGUAAAGCUCUGUUGCCAGGGAAGAACGUCCGGGUGAGUAACUGCACCCGGAGUGACGGUACCUGAGAAGAAGGCCCCGGCUAACUACGUGCCAGCAGCCGCCGUAA
This 516-nucleotide ribosomal RNA is filed under the name uncultured bacterium. RNAcentral's name for it is "partial 16S ribosomal RNA". It matches the Rfam family "Bacterial small subunit ribosomal RNA", at positions 28 to 523 of the family's 1533-position model. The record is from RNAcentral.